UACGUAGGGGGCAAGCGUUGUCCGGAAUUAUUGGGCGUAAAGAGCGUGUAGGCGGUCCGGUAAGUCAGCUGUGAAAGUCAAGGGCUCAACCCUUGAAUACCGGUUGAUACUGUCGGGCUAGAGUCCGGAAGAGGCGAGUGGAAUUCCCGGUGUAGCGGUGAAAUGCGCAGAUAUCGGGAGGAACACCAAUGGCGAAGGCAGCUCGCUGGGACGGUACUGACGCUGAGACGCGAAAGCUAGGGGAGCGAACAGG
This 253-nucleotide ribosomal RNA is filed under the name uncultured bacterium. Its description in RNAcentral is "partial 16S ribosomal RNA". It matches the Rfam family "Bacterial small subunit ribosomal RNA", at positions 524 to 776 of the family's 1533-position model. The record is from RNAcentral.